CACGUAGGGCGCAAGCGUUGUCCGGAUUUAUUGGGCGUAAAGAGCUCGUAGGCGGUCUGUCGCGUCGGAUGUGAAAAUCCAGGGCUCAACCCUGGACCUGCAUUCGAUACGGGCAGACUAGAGUUCGGCAGGGGAGACUGGAAUUCCUGGUGUAGCGGUGAAAUGCGCAGAUAUCAGGAGGAACACCGGUGGCGAAGGCGGGUCUCUGGGCCGAUACUGACGCUGAGGAGCGAAAGCGUGGGGAGCGAACAGG
RNAcentral lists this ribosomal RNA (253 nucleotides) under uncultured bacterium. RNAcentral describes it as "partial 16S ribosomal RNA". It matches the Rfam family "Bacterial small subunit ribosomal RNA", at positions 524 to 776 of the family's 1533-position model. The record is from RNAcentral.